CACGUAGGGGGCAAGCGUUGUCCGGAUUUAUUGGGCGUAAAGAGCUCGUAGGUGGUUCGGUAAGUCGGGUGUGAAACCUCCAGGCUCAACCUGGAGACGCCACCCGAUACUGCUGUGACUGGAGUCCGGUAGGGGAGCGUGGAAUUCCUGGUGUAGCGGUGAAAUGCGCAGAUAUCAGGAGGAACACCGGUGGCGAAGGCGGGUCUCUGGGCCGAUACUGACGCUGAGGAGCGAAAGCGUGGGGAGCGAACAGG
This 254-nucleotide ribosomal RNA is filed under the name uncultured bacterium. Its description in RNAcentral is "partial 16S ribosomal RNA". It matches the Rfam family "Bacterial small subunit ribosomal RNA", at positions 524 to 776 of the family's 1533-position model. The record is from RNAcentral.